GGCAAGAUGGCCGAGCGGUCUAAGGCGCUGUGUUCAGGUUUCUUCUGAAGAAGCUUCGCAGUGGAGCAAUCCGCGCGAGUUCGAAUCUCGUUCUUGUCA
This 99-nucleotide transfer RNA is filed under the name Thielaviopsis punctulata. RNAcentral describes it as "Ceratocystis radicicola tRNA". It matches the Rfam family "tRNA". Rfam says of the family: Transfer RNA (tRNA) molecules are approximately 80 nucleotides in length. The record is from Rfam by way of RNAcentral. Lineage: Eukaryota; Fungi; Ascomycota; Sordariomycetes; Microascales; Ceratocystidaceae.